GACGAACCGUGCAAACGUUGUUCGGAAUCACUGGGCUUAAAGGGCGCGUAGGCGGGUUCGUAAGUCUGUGGUGAAAGCCCCCAGCUUAACUGGGGAAGUGCCAUGGAUACUGCGAGUCUUGAGGAGGGUAGGGGCAUCUGGAACACUGGGUGGAGCGGUGAAAUGCGUUGAUAUCCAGUGGAACUCCGGUGGCGAAGGCGAGGUGCUGGACCCUUUCUGACGCUGAUGCGCGAAAGCCAGGGGAGCAAACGGG
This 253-nucleotide ribosomal RNA is filed under the name uncultured bacterium. RNAcentral describes it as "partial 16S ribosomal RNA". It matches the Rfam family "Bacterial small subunit ribosomal RNA", at positions 524 to 776 of the family's 1533-position model. The record is from RNAcentral.